Molecule: ribosomal RNA, 264 nt
Filed under: uncultured bacterium
Lineage: Bacteria
Description: partial 16S ribosomal RNA
Rfam family: Bacterial small subunit ribosomal RNA
Source: RNAcentral
GAGUUUGAUCAUGGCUCAGGAUGAACGCUGGCGGCGUGCUUAACACAUGCAAGUCGAGCGGAGUGAAUUGAGAGCUUGCUUUUGAUUCACUUAGCGGCGGACGGGUGAGUAACGUGUGGGCAACCUGCCUCAUACUGUGGAAUAACCACCGGAAACGGUGACUAAUACCGCAUGUGGUGUCGGGAAGGCAUCUUUCUGACAAGAAAGGAUUAUAUUCGGUAUGAGAUGGGCCCGCAUCUGAUUAGCUAGUUGGUGAGAUAACAG